CUCUGUGACUCCUACGGGAGGCAGCAUGGGGAAUAUUGCACAAUGGGGGAAACCCUGAUGCAGCCAUGCCGCGUGUGUGAAGAAGGCCUUCGGGUUGUAAAGCACUUUCAGUAGGGAGGAAGGUAGUGUAGUUAACACCUGCAUUAUUUGACGUUACCUACAGAAGAAGCACCGGCUAACUCCGUGCCAGCAGCCGCGGUAAUACGGAGGGUGCGAGCGUUAAUCGGAAUUACUGGGCGUAAAGCGCAUGCAGGCGGCCUGUUAAGUCAGAUGUGAAAGCCCCGGGGCUUAACCUCGGAAUUGCAUUUGAAACUGGCAGGCUAGAGUCUUGUAGAGGGGGUAGAAUUUCAGGUGUAGCGGUGAAAUGCGUAGAGAUCUGAAGGAAUACCAGUGGCGAAGGCGGCCCCCUGGACAAAGACUGACGCUCAGAUGCGAAAGCGUGGGGAGCAAACAGGAUUAGAUACCCUGGUAA
RNAcentral lists this ribosomal RNA (472 nucleotides) under uncultured bacterium. Its description in RNAcentral is "bacterial SSU rRNA". It matches the Rfam family "Bacterial small subunit ribosomal RNA", at positions 328 to 793 of the family's 1533-position model. The record is from RNAcentral.